Molecule: long non-coding RNA, 338 nt
Organism: Gallus gallus (chicken)
Lineage: Eukaryota; Metazoa; Chordata; Aves; Galliformes; Phasianidae
Source: Ensembl
GUUGGGAUGAUUCCUGCAGCUGCUCCCCUGCUGCACGGUUUCUUGGAGCUUUUUUGCCCCACAGUUAAGAUUCCCCACGCAGAUUCACACCAUACCCCUGCAGACCGCGAGUUAUCGAAGCUCAUACAGCACAUCCAAUCAACCUGAAAGGCUGGCUGAGUUACCCGCAUCACUGCUUCACUUCAGUGUUUCUCACACCUUCGUCCUGAAGGAAGGACACAAAGAUGUUACUCUGAUUGUCUUUGGUUUCUUCAGUUUUUCAUCCCCCUUCGAGUUGCACAGGCACCGAAGUAAAGGUAAGCACACACAGCCCCCGUUCCCAUCCCACACUGCGUGCA